UUCCUUCAUGAAAGUUGUAGAGCUCGUCGAUACGAUCGCGUGCAUAUGCGGAACGCAAAAAUCGGAGUUCGUAUGAAUUAGUUAUGAUUUUUUUGAAAAAGUUUCCAAUUUAGUAUAAAUCUUCCAUUUUCAGAAAUUUCCGAAAAUAAAAUCAGAAUUUCCGAAAAUAGAAAAAAAGCGGCAGAUUUUCUCCCCCGACCGGAAAUCGCCUUUGAUUUUCGUUCGGCCAUUUCUUCCUCCUCCGGCCACCAAUCCUCACCAAACUUCUUCCAUUGGCUUCGUAUGGUCCUUGCGCACCUAUCUGUAGAAGCCUUGAACGGUGGCAAGGUUUGUAGCGGCGGCAUCAAGCUUGUUCCGAUUUAAGCCCGAUUUCGAGUCAACGUCGAUAUCUCGAGUUCUAGACAACGAAUAUUCUAGAUUAUUGGGCUGGUGAACUCAGAUUAAAGUUCUGAAAAAGUUUCAUGAAGGGAUCGAAGCGAUUUGUUGACGAUUUUACGUGGAACGGAGCUCUCACCGAUUCUGGAAAUUUUCCGGCGAAACCGUGUGUUCUAGGUGAUCGAUGGAUUGAUUUGACGGACGAUGCUGAAUCGUUGUUGAGCUGUUAAGAAGACGCAGCGGGAAUUUAGAGCGGGAAAUUCUGCAGGUCAGGAGAAUCAGGGCAGAGAUCGUGCGGAUUAGAGCAUUAUUUUGGUUUUACAGUGAUUGUGUAUUGUGAGGUAAGUUAUGCUCAAUUAGAGCCUUACCAAUUUACUUUAUACGAGUGAGUUGUAAAAAUUAACUCGAGGUUUGUGAGAUUUGAAAUCUGAGUGGCAUGGGUGUGUU
This is a long non-coding RNA of Rosa chinensis, 822 nucleotides long. RefSeq lists it as uncharacterized. Lineage: Eukaryota; Viridiplantae; Streptophyta; Magnoliopsida; Rosales; Rosaceae. The record is from RefSeq and is a predicted model, not a curated record. The transcript has 3 exons.